This 318-nucleotide long non-coding RNA is filed under the name Ananas comosus (pineapple). RNAcentral's name for it is "long non-coding RNA (ACOM_LNC017892)". Lineage: Eukaryota; Viridiplantae; Streptophyta; Magnoliopsida; Poales; Bromeliaceae. The record is from RNAcentral.
GUACAACCUCGCCCCAUAUUAUAACAUAAACGAGAAUCUUGCUUUAACACGUCAAAUCCGUGUAGAACAAGAUAAGCCUAAGAUUAUACGGAUAAGGAUUAGGAUUAGGAUAAAAAUAAGAAUUAAAAUAAAGAUAAAACCGACAAAAUAAAAAGUUAAAUAAAUCGGAUGUAUGGAUCGCGCGCGUGCGCCGCCCGCCCGGCUCGUGCUCGUGCCGUGCGUGCGUGUAUUUAAACGAGAGUAUAACUCUCAUUUUCUUCCAAGCAACUAUCUUGAGAAUAAAUGAAUAAAUAAAAACCACAAACACUCUUUUGGUUU